CCUGACGCAGCGACGCCGCGUGAGUGAAGAAGGCCUUCGGGUUGUAAAGCUCUGUCAGAUGGGAAUAAGUUCAUUCGUGUUAAUAGCACGGGUGUUUGAAGGUACCGUCAAAGGAAGCACCGGCUAACUCCGUGCCAGCAGCCGCGGUAAUACGGAGGGUGCAAGCGUUGUUCGGAAUCACUGGGCGUAAAGGGCACGCAGGCGGCUCAUCAAGUCAGGUGUGAAAAUCCAGGGCUCAACCCUGGACGUGCAUCUGAAACUGGUGGGCUUGAGUAUGGGAGAGGAAAGUGGAAUUCCCGGUGUAGAGGUGAAAUUCGUAGAUAUCGAGGGGAAUACCCGAGGCGAAGGCGACUUCCUGGACCAAUACUGACGCUGAGGUGCGAAAGCGUGGGUAGCGAACAGGAUUAGAUACCCUGGUAGUCCACAGCUGUAAACGAUGUGCACUAGAUGUUAGAGGAGUUGACCCCUUCAGUGUCGAAGCUAACGCGAUAAGUGCACCGCCUGGGGAGUACGGCCGCAAGGUUAAAACUCAAAGGAAUUGACGG
This 545-nucleotide ribosomal RNA is filed under the name uncultured delta proteobacterium. RNAcentral describes it as "bacterial SSU rRNA". It matches the Rfam family "Bacterial small subunit ribosomal RNA", at positions 382 to 916 of the family's 1533-position model. Lineage: Bacteria; Deltaproteobacteria. The record is from RNAcentral.